CAUGCAGUCGANGAUGAAGCCCUUCGGGGUGGAUUAGUGGCGAACGGGUGAGUAACACGUGGGCAAUCUGCCCUUCACUCUGGGACAAGCCCUGGAAACGGGGUCUAAUACCGGAUAACACCGGCUUCCGCAUGGGAGCUGGUUGAAAGCUCCGGCGGUGAAGGAUGAGCCCGCGGCCUAUCAGCUUGUUGGUGGGGUAAUGGCCUACCAAGGCGACGACGGGUAGCCGGCCUGAGAGGGCGACCGGCCACACUGGGACUGAGACACGGCCCAGACUCCUACGGGAGGCAGCAGUGGGGAAUAUUGCACAAUGGGCGAAAGCCUGAUGCAGCGACGCCGCGUGAGGGAUGACGGCCUUCGGGUUGUAAACCUCUUUCAGCAGGGAAGAAGCGAAAGUGACGGUACCUGCAGAAGAAGCGCCGGCUAACUACGUGCCAGCAGCCGCGGUAAUACGUAGGGCGCAAGCGUUGUCCGGAAUUAUUGGGCGUAAAGAGCUCGUAGGCGGCUUGUCACGUCGGGUGUGAAAGCCCGGGGCUUAACCCCGGGUCUGCAUCCGAUACGGGCAGGCUAGAGUGUGGUAGGGGAGAUCGGAAUUCCUGGUGUAGCGGUNA
Molecule: ribosomal RNA, 611 nt
Filed under: Streptomyces sp. EK-A8
Lineage: Bacteria; Bacillati; Actinomycetota; Actinomycetes; Kitasatosporales; Streptomycetaceae
Description: bacterial SSU rRNA
Rfam family: Bacterial small subunit ribosomal RNA
Source: RNAcentral